RNAcentral lists this long non-coding RNA (4952 nucleotides) under Homo sapiens (human). RNAcentral's name for it is "long non-coding RNA NONHSAT178056.1". Lineage: Eukaryota; Metazoa; Chordata; Mammalia; Primates; Hominidae. The record is from RNAcentral.
AGUACAUUUUCUGCUAUGAUGCUGCAAACAGGCACCAGGAUGAGUCAGACCCAUUUAAGAUUGUUGAGCCUCACAGGUUUAGCGAUUUAAUUACGUGUUUUGUGGGAUUUGCAAGCUGCGUGCAAUCUCCCCGCGUGCCUCAGGUCCACAAGUGGCAGUGGCCCUUGUCUCUCUCUGGUUUUGUUUGGUGGUACAUCAGGCCAGUCUCUGGAAGCCCGGAAUUGAGGAUGCAAGCAUGUUCAUGCGCGUGGUGUAGGAUCGACGGGGAAGGAAAUCGCUGGAGACCUUCCGCUCCCUCCUCCACCUGGGGCUGGGCCGUGAAAACGGACGCGUCUGUCAGCAGUGAGGUGCUAAGAGGCACAUGGCGCUACAUAGAAAGAAUGCCCUGAGGUGAAGGUGACAGCUCGGCAGUUUCUUAAUACCCUGAACUUGAGCGUGGCCUGCGCUAGAGAAAAUACACGGUGCUUCUUAAAAACAAAAGCCAGCAGCCUGCAAGAGGGCUGUGCCUGCGAGUUCCUGGGAGCAGGAGGGGGCUGUUCCUCCGCCCCUGGCUCCAGUUUCACCCAAGUCACUUCACAGCAGUUGGAAGGAGGUCACCAAUUGUUGAGUGUAGGCGGGGGGCGGGGAGGGAGAGGAAGAGGGAUGAAAAGGGAAGGCCCGGGUCAGCUGGGAGAGGAGCUCGCGGGCUUUCCGGCGGGCUGGCCUGAAGUGGAAGGGCCCAGGGCUGCCUGCCACCCUCAGAUGCCACGCAGGUGUUGGGAGGGCACCCGUCUGUGGGCUCAGGGACGUGUUCCCACCGACAGGCACAGAACGGAAAGCACCUUGGGGGAGACGCCCUUCUCCCCAUCUCAGGAGGGAGGCCGGGCCUGCAGACCUCCAGCCCUUCCCCAGCGCUCGCUGUGAGCUCCCCCCCCCCACCCGCCCCCCACGUGCUGGGGAGCAGGUCCGUUUCCCCACCAGUUUGCCUCUGGUCUUUGUGUUUGCUCUGAGGCCAGGCGCGCCCCCUGCUGCAGGCCUGGGCUCCUGUGUGGAGUUCUCCUUUCAGAUGUUGCUAAAAUGUCUUGAAAGGCUGCGGCCACACCAACAGACGUCGUCCGGCCUUCUUCACACGCAACGAAGCGCCCAGGUGGAAAUGCAUGUACCCGCGGCAGCUUCUCGGCAGCGGGCUUCCUGGGACGGAAGACACAGGCUCGCCCGAGGGAGACGGAAGCAGGGGAUCUGCUAGAACUCAGCUCGCCUCCUCCUUUCUCAGCAGGGCAGAGAAUCAUGGGCUUGUGCUGACGAAAGCUCCAGAAAAUGGACUCAUUUAACCUUUCCAAAGAUAUUAUCCAAGCUGCAAAAUCUUGGCAAUCUGAAGACCUUUUAAGUCGAUAUACCAAAGAGCUUUAGUCAGGAUUGAAUGCAAAAUGCCAAAAUUUCACUUUUAAAAUCAUCGUAACAUCUAAAUACAACCUAAGCACACUUGUAAACUGAUGCCGAACAGGCACUUGGAGAGCCCUCCCUGCACCCCUUCCUCGCCCCCUCCUUUGUGCAAAUGCUGUUUGCCCAGAACUUCAGCCACUGAAAAUCCUGGGAACUUUCUCUUCCUGGCUGCCAACCUAGCAGUUUGGACUCACAGACGAGAUUUUUAAAUCACUGAGGGAUUUAAGCCUCUCUGUGUCACAGAAAAGCGAACACCCUCCCAGUUGAAGGUGGCCCCAAAGAUGCGGGCCUGGGACCCAGGACUUCUGCAGGAGAGUGGACGCCUGGGUGCCCCCCGCCUUGCCCUGCACAUGGAUAACAGAGUACACCAGUCAUCAUAAGAAGAAAAAUUCACAUUUAAAGUUUGGAAAGCAACAGGACAAAGGUCUGUCUUCAGUGGUGCGUAGACAUGCUCGUGAUUGAAUUGGAAAUAGUUCUCUUUCCUUCUCUCUGACUUCCUAACUGAAAAGCUGCAGCGUGGGGAGAAAGGCUGCUCAGAAGCCUGGAGCCAGAACACGCACCCCGGCUUUUGCAGGGCCGGCUCACUUGGUUAGAAUCAAAGGAAAAGCCUUGUUAUUUGGGAAGCUGGGCGUCCUCACCAAAUUAGGGGAUUUAAUUUGCAGAUAUCUAAGGAGUGCUUUGAAAUGAAAGAUGAACUAAAAUCUGCUCUGAGGCCCGUGAUUUUUCACCAGUGAAGGACUCUCUUGCUGCUGGACAUACAUGAAAAGCAUCAUCUGAUCUGAAACGCAAGUCCCUGCAAGACAGAGGAGAGACUUUAUAAACAUUUUAUACCAUUCUAUGAAAUCAAUUCGAUUCAGGGCUAGAAUUCAAGAAGUAAUCCAUGGGCAAGUAUAUCUGAUGGUAAACCCAAACGAUUAUAUUGUUAACCUCUUGUACUUUUUUUAAUUUUUUAUUAUUUGAUAUUAUUAUCACAAAAGUCGCUGGAACAGGAUCCAUGAGCUGCUUCUUCACUGCUUAGUGUUUUCAGAAGCUGAUGGAUUAUUAAGCUCCAAUUGAAUACUUGAUUUCCAAUGAUUCCAUUAAUUUUUCUGGUUUGUGGUAGGAUUUGAUUUACUUAUUUUGUACUUUAACACACCAAUAAAAAAUAGAUACUAAGAAAUAGUGAAAUUUGUUGCUUCAAAAUAACCCUUAAAAUUUAGAGUUUAGUGAAAUUAAGCAAUUCAAAUAGAGAAACGAUUAUCCUUCAUUUCCUUAAGGCACAGAAAUUGAGACUAGGUUCAAGAACCUUCAUAUUUUAAAAACUGGAAAAUACUGGCUAAGUGAGGACUGGGCGGUCAUCCUCCACACAUGCUCUGUGUGCUUGGAGCGAAGAGGGGAACGCACUGAAUGAGAUGAACUGGAAGGAGGUGCAGCAGCGAAGGAAAUCCUUCUGUUGGGAGAGUUCACGUGUUUAGGAUAAUCCUUCGAAUAGGACGCAACAGUGAUGUGAGGAGAAGCUUUGGAGCUGAUUUAGAUUGAGACAGUCUAUCACAGGCUGUUUGGUUGCAUCCCUUUGGGGCCAGUCUCAUUUUAGGUCUAAAUAUGCAGGAAUGGGGCUCUGGCUUCCAGAAGUUUCAGGCUGCAAAAGGCUGGGGCCACCAUCUUUACAGAUAAUCCAUUAGUUUGAUUCUCUUGGGGGCCAGGAAGAAAACCAAGAACACUCAAUGGACUAUGGGACUCAAAUAAUCCACAGGAGGCGUUUGUAAAGGGGCAAAACUGUGUGUGCCCAGUAAUUCUUGGAGCUCGCAAUAGAGGUGGAGAAGCAGUGAUGGGCCCCACAGCAGCAGGGGCUUGGGAAUGACGGAAAAGAACAAAAUGAUGGAAGGACAGCUGGAAGAAACAGGGAAGCUUCCUUUUAACUGGAUGCUGGGUCUCAGCCUUGAAUAGUUCCUGGCCUUCGGAGGCCUUUUCUCAGGGAGCAUGGCCUGGGGACUCCCUGCUUGCUCUGCUGAGCUUUCAGGGAAGGAGAAAUGGGCAAGGCCAGAGGCGACCAUCAGGUGCUCCGUAGGCACAGAGGCAGAACUCAAGGUUUAGCUUUACCUUAAGAGGGUGACUGCAAAGUGUGCUCCCUGGACCAGGGGCCUCGGCCUCACCUGGGAGCUUGCUAAAAAUGCAAGUUGCUCUCACCCAGACUGAAUCUAAAAUUCUGGGUACAGCCCAGCAAUCUCUGCUCACACUUUCUCCAGAUGAUUCUGGUGCAAGCUAACCUUUCAAAAGUCCUGGGUCCCAUUCCCAGAGGCUGUGAUUAAGUUGGUCUAGGGCUGUGGCCUAGACCUGGGGAUUUUGGAAGCCCACAGGUGAUUCUGUUGUGCAGCCAUGGUUGGCAGGCUGUUCACGGUGCUGUUCAACAGGUCCUGCUGUGGGAUGGAAAGGGUCUGUAUCUGCACUGGCCAAUGUGGGAGCCAGCCCUGUGGCUAUUGAGCACUUGGCCCCUGGCUAGUGCAACUGAGGAGCUGAAUUUUUCAUUUCAUUUACUUUUAAUUAAGUUUAAAUAGCUAAAUGUGGCUAUUGUCUGCCUUAUUGGAUAGCAGAGUUCUAGAACCACAGAUAAAUGUAAUACUGUCCCUUUAGUUGAUUUAAAAAUCCAAUGCCUCUGUAAUCCUAGCACUUUGGGAGGCCAAGGUGGGCUGAUCACGAGGUCAAGAGAUCGAGACCAUUCUUGCCAACAUGGUGAAACCCCGUCUCUACUAAAAAUACAAAAAUUAGCCGGGCAUGGUGGCAGGCACCUGUAAUCCCAGCUACUCGGGAGGCUGAGGCAGGAGAAUCACUUGAACCCACGAGGCGGAGCUUGCAGUGAGCCAAGAUUGCACCACUGCACUCCAGCCUGGUGACAGACGGAGAUUCUGUCUCAAAAAAAAAUGCCUCACAGAGUUAAAUAUUUAAGUUGAUAAGAAAAAUGGUAGUCGAGUCUUUGAGGAUUAUUUUAAAAUCCACUUUUGGUGAUAAAUAGAUAAAAACAGUGUGGUAGGGCCCAGAAGUUCUUCCUGAUUUCUACCUGUUGGAGCUGAAUUCCUCAAUUUUACUUGUAGGAGAACGGCUUCCUAAAGGGCACCUUACCCAGCCAUUCCUGCAUGCAAGUGUGUAUGAGAACUGCAGGGGGCAUUAUAUGAAAAUCCAAUUCCUGGGCUCUAUCCCAGAUGUUCCUAUCCAAUAGGUCUGGGUUGGGGCCCUGGAAACUGCAUUUUUGGCAAACCCCUUACUGAUUUGGAUGCACAAGUUUCAAGGAACAGGCACUAAGGAUCGCUGAUGUAGAAUCUGUUUGUCCAUCCAGGAAAGCCAGAGUCACCACACUUGAGUAAAUGGGUUUUGAUGUAGGAAAGGUCUUUAUAAUUCUUUCAUGAAUUCACCAAACUUUAAAAACUGUACUAUUUUUGGCUGGGCUUGGUGGCUCACGCCUGUAAUCUCAGCACUUUGGGGGCCAAGGCGGGUGGAUCAUGAGGUCAGGAGAUCGAGACCAUCCUGGCUAACACGGUGAAAACCUGUCUCUACGA